Molecule: ribosomal RNA, 485 nt
Filed under: Mrakia sp. CRUB 1706
Lineage: Eukaryota; Fungi; Basidiomycota; Tremellomycetes; Cystofilobasidiales; Mrakiaceae
Description: eukaryotic LSU rRNA
Rfam family: Eukaryotic large subunit ribosomal RNA
Source: RNAcentral
AGUCUAGAGAAUCGUUUUCCGCGUUGGCCUGUGUACAAGUCCCUUGGAACAGGGCGUCAUAGAGGGUGAGAAUCCCGUCCUUGACACAGAUUACCAAUGCUUGUGAUGCGAUCUCGAAGAGUCGAGUUGUUUGGGAAUGCAGCUCAAAAUGGGUGGUAAAUUCCAUCUAAAGCUAAAUAUUGGCGAGAGACCGAUAGCGAACAAGUACCGUGAUGGAAAGAUGAAAAGCACUUUGGAAAGAGAGUUAAACAGUACGUGAAAUUGUUAAAAGGGAAACGAUUGAAGUCAGUCAUGCUUUCCGAGACUCACCGAUUCUGUCGGUGUACUUCUCGGUUGGCAGGCCAGCAUCAGUUUCGAUCUGUGGAAAAGGUUGGAGGGAACGUGGCAUCCUCGGAUGUGUUAUAGCCCUUCUUCGAAUACAUAGAGCGGGACUGAGGAACGCAGCGCGCCUUUUAUUAGGUUGGCCCUCGGGUACAUACGCGCUU